RNAcentral lists this microRNA (22 nucleotides) under Solanum tuberosum (potato). Its description in RNAcentral is "stu-miR8033-5p". The record is from miRBase by way of RNAcentral. Lineage: Eukaryota; Viridiplantae; Streptophyta; Magnoliopsida; Solanales; Solanaceae.
UUCCAAAGCUGCAGAAAUGAGU